AGUUGUAAAAAAGGUUUUGCUGACUAAGUUGUGUUUGUCAACAACAUCCAUUCACCACUCCAAUUAGAGAGAUUUCGAACACAACAUCGGCUUCACCACUAUCAGCCACCAUCAAACCAUGGCGAUCUGAAACUCGUUUCACAGAAAUACCAGUAAUUUUUCGGCAUUCCCCUAUUCAGACUUGAGCCAUCGCCAUAUCCCGUUAGGGUUUGCAGACUCUCCAUUCUGGAGCUUGUUUCAGGUGAAUAAUUUGCAAGUCUUGCUUUGUCCGCGCAAUGAUUAAGCUUUGUUCCCAUAGAAAAAAUAUAUUAUCCAAAUGGGUAUUGUUUGCAAAAAUGCACAGCACAAGUGAGGCGAUUCAGGAGAUUGGAGAAGCGAGCGAGAGAGUGAGCAAGGUUAUGAUGACGUGUCCCACACUGGCACUUGACACUGCUCUUAAUCAAACUGGAGUUAGAGUUUCCCCUGAUUUAGUUGAAAAUGUUCUCAAACGAUUUGAGAAUGCGGGCAUGUCAGCAUUUCGGUUCUUUGAGUGGGCAGAGAAGCAGAGAGACUACUCACACAGCAUAAGGGCAUAUCACUUGAUGAUUGAAUCUCUGGCUAAGGUUAGACAGUACCAGAUCGUGUGGGACCUUGUUAAUGCCAUGAGGAAAAAGGGCAUGCUAAAUGUGGAGACUUUUUGCAUCAUGAUGAGAAAGUAUGCUAGGGCUAACAAGGUCGACGAGGCUGUUUACACCUUUAAUGUCAUGGAUAAGUACGAUGUGGUCCCAAAUCUUGCUGCAUUUAAUGGUUUGUUAAGUGCUUUGUGCAAGUCCAACAAUGUGAGGAAGGCUCAGGAGAUUUUUGAUGCUAUGAAGGGUCGAUUUGAGCCAGACGCGAAAACUUAUAGCAUUUUGCUGGAGGGGUGGGGAAGAGCUCCCAAUCUUCCCCGGGCAAGGGAGGUUUUUGGAGAGAUGGUUCGUGCUGGGUGUGAUCCUGAUGUUGUUACUUAUGGUAUAAUGGUUGAUGUUCUUUGCAAAGCAGGGAGGGUUGAUGAAGCAGUUGAGGUUGUGAAGGAAAUGGAUGAGAGCAAUUGCAGGCCUACAUCUUUCAUUUAUAGUGUCCUGGUUCAUACUUAUGGAGUGGAGCACCGAAUUGAAGAUGCUAUUGAUACAUUCCAGGAGAUGGAGAGGAAGGGAAUCAAGGCUGAUGUUGUGGUUUAUAAUGCCUUGAUUGGUGCCUUUUGUAAAGUAAAUAAGUUUAAAAAUGUGCGCAGGGUCUUGCAGGAGAUGGAGAUCAAUGGCGUUGCUCCGAAUUCAAGGACCUGCAAUGUUAUCAUAAGUAGUAUGAUUGGUCAGGGACAGACUGACAGAGCUUUUAGAGUUUUCCGCCGGAUGAUCAAGUUAUGUGAACCGGAUGCUGACACUUACACAAUGAUGAUAAAAAUGUUUUGUGCGAAAAAUGAUCUGAAGAUGGCUCUGAGAAUAUGGAAGUUUAUGAAGUCAAAACAAUUUGUUCCAAGCAUGCACACCUUUUCUGCCCUUGUCAAGGGGCUGUGUGAAAAAGGUGAUGCCGCAAAAGCUUGUGUUGUGCUUGAAGAGAUGAUAGAGAAGGGAAUUCGACCAUCGCGUAUUACGUUUGGGAGGUUGAGACAGUUGCUUUUAAAGGAAGGGAGAGAAGAUGUGCUCAAAUUUCUUCAUGAGAAAAUGAAUCUUCUUGUCAACGAGCCUUUACAUGAUUAAAAAAGGUGAAUGCAGUUGGUGUAGUUAAGCACUGCAAUGUGCAUCGGCUACUGGUUUAAAUUUGCAAGGAAGCCAAUUACAAAAAAGACAAAUGAGGAUAAUAUACAGACAGCUAGAAAUAGGUCACACGGCAGCUGAAAUGAAAAAAUAAGGAAAAUCCAACAACCCAAAAUAAGCAACGUACGGUUAAAGGACUGUGUGGUGAGACAAAUAUCGUAAAGGUCAAGCUGAUGGUGGUUCAUUCUUGUUUUCCUAUGUUCAUCUUUGUUGCUAUGUAAUAUACUCAUAGGAGUGUUUGUUUUCUUAUAAGAAACCCAUUUCCAGGAAGUAAUACAAUUACUCUUUUUUUACAUAUAGCUCUCUCUUACUCGUUUUUAUUGGUUAUAUGUUAGAUUGGUGCUUUCAUUUAUUAUGGCGGAAAAUAUGCACAUGAAAGACCUUACCUUCGAUGUGAAGCGUUUGACGGACAUGAUGAAAGCUCGUGACAAGGGUUACUCUACUUGUUUCAAAACUAUAAAAUCAACAAUGGAGGAGGAUGUUGAAACGUGCUCUUGUUACAAAAUCUUAAACCGUACACUUUUUGGAAGAGCAGGCCUGUGCUAUCCUACAAUCCGUGACAAAUAUUUCGGCCAAUUUGUCUGGUGUCUUGUGCUUGCACAGGCUUGGAUGCUCCCAAUGUGCAGGUUUUCUUUGAGCAGAUUAGAGAGGUUGCUAAACACGAGAUCUAGAUGUUUAAUAUUUGUUACAAAAAAUUAAAUUCCAAGACAGAUAUCUUACUAGAGAAUUUCGGCUGUGUGGUCUUUAGUAUUGCAUUUUUUGGACGGUAUGACAAAGUAGUGCCUAACGGAGUUUAUUCAAUGGAUUUUGUUCAUCAUUAGGGGGUAUUCUGGUAAGUCCGGACCCAUGUAAAAGCCACAAUAAUCCAAUUUACGACUAUUUGAUAUCGGAUUUGUACGUUUUAA
This is an RNA transcript of Vigna radiata var. radiata (mung bean), 2680 nucleotides long. It is a transcript of the gene named pentatricopeptide repeat-containing protein At1g77360, mitochondrial, with no coding region annotated. NCBI's taxonomy places the organism in Eukaryota, Viridiplantae, Streptophyta, Magnoliopsida, Fabales, Fabaceae. The record is from RefSeq and is a predicted model, not a curated record. The transcript is spliced from 2 exons.